AGUGAACGCUGGCGGUAGGCCUAACACAUGCAAGUCGAACGGCAGCACAGUAAGAGCUUGCUCUUACGGGUGGCGAGUGGCGGACGGGUGAGGAAUACAUCGGAAUCUACUUUUUCGUGGGGGAUAACGUAGGGAAACUUACGCUAAUACCGCAUACGACCUACGGGUGAAAGCAGGGGAUCUUCGGACCUUGCGCGAUUGAAUGAGCCGAUGUCGGAUUAGCUAGUUGGCGGGGUGAAGGCCCACCAAGGCGACGAUCCGUAGCUGGUCUGAGAGGAUGAUCAGCCACACUGGAACUGAGACACGGUCCAGACUCCUACGGGAGGCAGCAGUGGGGAAUAUUGGACAAUGGGCGCAAGCCUGAUCCAGCCAUACCGCGUGGGUGAAGAAGGCCUUCGGGUUGUAAAGCCCUUUUGUUGGGAAAGAAAAGCAGCAGGCUAAUACCCCGCUGUUCUGACGGUACCCAAAGAAUAAGCACCGGCUAACUUCGUG
RNAcentral lists this ribosomal RNA (492 nucleotides) under uncultured bacterium. RNAcentral's name for it is "partial 16S ribosomal RNA". It matches the Rfam family "Bacterial small subunit ribosomal RNA", at positions 29 to 507 of the family's 1533-position model. The record is from RNAcentral.